Molecule: transfer RNA, 72 nt
Filed under: Rachovia maculipinnis
Lineage: Eukaryota; Metazoa; Chordata; Actinopteri; Cyprinodontiformes; Rivulidae
Description: tRNA-Asn
Rfam family: tRNA
About the family: Transfer RNA (tRNA) molecules are approximately 80 nucleotides in length. Their secondary structure includes four short double-helical elements and three loops (D, anti-codon, and T loops).
Source: RNAcentral
CAGACAGAAGCUUAAAGGUUAAGCGUUUAGUUGUUAAUUUUAAGUUUGUAGGAUCGAAGCCUUCCUGUUUUA